GAGGGCACACGAGCGGCUUGGCGGGCAGCGGGAAGGAGAGAUGCCUCAGGUGCUGCCUGGCACUGCCAUCCCUGCUCAGAGAUUUAGCAUGGAAAGAGAAUAACCCCGUUUAAAUGGAUCCCAGGCUGCCCCCAGUCAAUGGGGAAAAUCAGGGAGAAACCGGUGAAGUUUCUGAAGUUUUAUAAUUUUUUCCAACGGCUUGGUCAGGCCAACACCAACCACAUCUGCAGAGCCCAGGUUUGUUUUUCCAUAGCAGCACCACAACAGAAUUCUGCAUGGGGCACAAAGAAGGCAAGAAGCUCUUCUCCCAGCUGUUUGGGCAAUAAUCAGAUGUGCACAGAAAUCUUGUGCAGCUGUUAGUUGGUUCAAUGGGCUGCAGCACCAGCUUACAGGAAGGAAAACAGAAACAAUAACACUAUUGCUGACAACUGAAAAGCAAAGAAGCCUGGACAGGAAAUAGCCAUUCCUGCUACAUGGAGGCCACCCAGAAUAACCUGCUCUGCCUAUCACACCAUAGCUGGCUGAUAUACAUAUUACUAGUGCUGCAUUACCUGAUACUUAGGUCACAGGACCUUUACGUCCACAAUUGCUAAAAAAAAAAAAUUAGAUUGCACAGUCUGAUUUAUUUUUCACUUAAGUUUUCCCAACUUUGCUAGAUUUCAUUUGCUCCCUGGUCACUGAAAGAAAGGAUUAGUGCAAAUGUAUUCACUGCCAAGUUACAGAAAGCAGCACUGUAGCUGUGACAUCAAAAUUAUUUCAAAGGAACAGUGCUGAUAAAUGUAAAUUCUUAACAGACUAAGGAACGAUUUUGGGGAAAUAUACAUAUACAAGCUUUGAUAUUCAAACUUAUACGAAUUGAAAAUACCUAUGAUGCUUAUGAGAAAAAAAUUCAACAAAACAGAAAACUAAGCAUCCUGUUCUCAUCAAACAUUACUGCUCUUCAAACCUGAGUCUUCAUCACAGGUAGAGGAGCUAAACAAUAUAUACCUGACAACCUACAUUGAAUAUAAGGCUCAGCUGGAGCUUGGAUCACCCAGGGCAGCACUCUGAGAUUGAGGAUGCAAGAACCAGGCUUUCCUUCUUAGAAGGCUUUCAUUGAUAAUCCCUUGCACUAAUUAAAGAUCGGUGCAUUGAUCAUCAUCACACCUUCGUCUCAACUACCUCCAACACUGCUCCAUCUGGUAAGCAUCAUCUAGCUCCAAUCUCCUCUGCAUUACUAGCUUAUACAAGUCCAAGUCAUUUAAAGUAAUUAACAUUCAUCCAACAGCUAGUAAUCAACGUAUCCUGGGUAUGUGAAGACAGACAUGUAUUUCCAAUUCUGUUUUUUAAUGCUGCUAUUAAUGCUUGAGACAAGAAGCCUGCUUACAGCUUGUGAAUGAGAUCAGCUGGUUUGAAUUUAAGCACAGUAGCAUUCAUGCCUAUGGCUGAGAACGGGUUUUGGUUAGAGAACAGAACUGCUUUGCUUCAGACAGUCACUGUGUGUUGCUGGAACAAGGAAUCUCUUAGCAGUGCUCCAAUGACUGCACAUCAGCUCUUACUAGACACACAUACCUCCA
Molecule: long non-coding RNA, 1556 nt
Organism: Passer domesticus (house sparrow)
Lineage: Eukaryota; Metazoa; Chordata; Aves; Passeriformes; Passeridae
Exons: 3
Source: RefSeq, a predicted model, not a curated record